RNAcentral lists this unclassified non-coding RNA (391 nucleotides) under soil metagenome. RNAcentral describes it as "partial contains 5.8S ribosomal RNA, internal transcribed spacer 2, and large subunit ribosomal RNA". The stretch from base 1 to 122 matches the Rfam family "5.8S ribosomal RNA", at positions 35 to 154 of the family's 154-position model. The record is from RNAcentral.
GAUGAAGAACGCAGCGAAAUGCGAUACUUGGUGUGAAUUGCAGAAUCCCGUGAACCAUCGAGUCUUUGAACGCAAGUUGCGCCCGAAGCCACUAGGCCGAGGGCACGCCUGCCUGGGCGUCACACGCCGUUGCCCCCCCAUCUACUCCUUCGGGAUUGCGGGGGGGCGGAUGAUGGCCUCCCGUGCGCCUAGCCGCGCGGUUGGCAUAAAUACCAAGUCCUCGGCGACGCACGCCACGACAAUCGGUGGUUGCGAAACCUCGGUUGCCCGUCGUGUGCGUUCGUCGCGCAUCGAGGGCUCGAAAAAAUGCUCGGCUCCGGCUGGGCUUUCAACGCGACCCCAGGUCAGGCGGGGUUACCCGCUGAAUUUAAGAAUAUCAAUAAGCGGAGGA